Molecule: ribosomal RNA, 253 nt
Filed under: uncultured bacterium
Lineage: Bacteria
Description: partial 16S ribosomal RNA
Rfam family: Bacterial small subunit ribosomal RNA
Source: RNAcentral
GACGUAGGGUGCAAGCGUUGUCCGGAUUUAUUGGGCGUAAAGAGCUCGUAGGCGGUUUGUUAAGUCUGGCGUUAAAGCCUGAGGCUCAACCUCGGAAAUGCAUCGGAUACUGGCAGACUUGAGUACGGUAGAGGCGAGUGGAAUUCCCAGUGUAGCGGUGAAAUGCGUAGAUAUUGGGAAGAACACCGGUGGCGAAGGCGGCUCGCUGGGCCGCAACUGACGCUGAGGAACGAAAGCCAGGGGAGCGAAUAGG